Molecule: ribosomal RNA, 301 nt
Filed under: uncultured bacterium
Lineage: Bacteria
Description: partial 16S ribosomal RNA
Rfam family: Bacterial small subunit ribosomal RNA
Source: RNAcentral
CAGUAGCCACGGGAAUACGAGGGGGGCGAGCGUUGUUCGGAAUUAUUGGGCGUAAAGGGUGCGUAGGCGGUUCGGUAAGUCUUAUGUGAAAUCUUCGGGCUCAACUCGAAGUCUGCAUGAGAAACUGCCGGGCUUGAGUGUGGGAGAGGUGAGUGGAAUUUCCGGUGUAGCGGUGAAAUGCGUAGAUAUCGGAAGGAACACCUGUGGCGAAAGCGGCUCACUGGACCACAACUGACGCUGAUGCACGAAAGCUAGGGGAGCAAACAGGAUUAGAUACCCGCGUAGUCCCUGUCUCUUAUAC